Non-coding RNA from Phascolarctos cinereus (koala), 550 nucleotides. Lineage: Eukaryota; Metazoa; Chordata; Mammalia; Diprotodontia; Phascolarctidae. The record is from RefSeq and is a predicted model, not a curated record.
GUGGAGCCUGACUACUGGUCAGCAAAGGAGUCAAGUCCUGAUUGGUAGCAUGCGCUGGGGGUAGGUUCUCUAGGGUGGGGCCUUGCUAUGCUACAGAAACUGCUGGCUUACCUAGCGGGGCUGCUGGUUUGCAGGAGGGCAGGUCUUCCUUAGGGGAUUUCCUCAGGCUCAGAGCCCUGCCGCAGGCCCCUCUGGCUGCUUCUUCCCUCCAACCUUGUUACCCUUCCACCUCAGUGAGACAGACCUUUCCUGUAGACUCUCUCCAGUCAUGGACAUUUGAGCCUAAGGCAUCAGUGGGACCUGAAUACAGCAUGCAAGACAUUGCCACCUCCUCAAUACAUAUGAAACCAGCAGCAGGCAAGAAUUGCAACCUUGGCUGAACUACAAGAAGGCUCAAGAAAUCCAUACUGCAGCACGUUCCAAGAUGAAAUUCCAAAACAGAAUGAAAUAUUUCCUGGUGCAAAAGACCCUCAGUGGACCAAGAAAUUUGCUUGGAACCAAAGAAACCAGAUGAGAAAACUGAGGCUUGGAGAGGUUCAGUGACUUGCCA